UUCCUUACAACCCAGAUGCAAGAUCCAAAUGAGAGUUUUAUCAUUUUGGGGAAUGGGGUUAGAGUUCCUAUAACAGCUGUUGGAACCUAUCGUUUGUUUUUGAAUACUGGUUGUCAUUUCGAUUUGCUUCAGACUCUUUAUGUUCCUUCUAUUUCUAAAAAUUUGAUUUUUGUUUCUAAACUUGAUGUUGAAGGAUAUUUCUUUAAAAUUGGGAAUGGUAGUUUGCGUCUUUUCAAAGACAAUCUCUUCAUUGGUUCUGGUGUCUUGUGUGAUGGUUUAUAUAAAGUAAAUCUUGAUAAUCACUUUGCUGAAACUCUUAUGACCUUGCAUCGUAAUAUUGGAAUUAAACGAAACCUGAUAAAUGAAAGAUCUUCUAACUUGUGGCAUAAAAGAUUGGGUUAUAUAUCUAAAGAAAGGUUAAAGAGAUAAGUAAAGGAUGGAAUUUUGUCAAACUUAGAGUUUACUGAUCUUGAUAUGUGUGUAGAUUGCAUUAAGGGAAAGCAAACCAAACACACAAAGAAAGUUGCCACAAGAAGUGAAGAACUUCUUGAAAUUAUCCAUACAGACAUUUGUGGGCCUUUUGACUCCCCAUCAUUUGGUGGAGAGAAGUAUUUUAUCACCUUUAUUGAUGAUUUUUCACGUUAUGGUUAUGUCUAUUUGUUGCAUGAAAAAUCUCAGGCAGUGGAUGUCCUAGAGGUAUACAUUACUGAGGUUGAAAGACAAUUAGAUAGAAAGGUGAAAAUUGUCAGGUCUGAUAGAGGUGGUGAAUAUUAUGGUAGGUAUGAUGAAACAGGACAACACCCUGGCCCAUUUGCUAAACUCUUAGAAAAGCAUGGCAUACGUGCUCAAUACACUAUGCCAGGAACGCCACAGCAGAAUGGAGUAGAUGAAANNNNNNNNNNNNNNNNNNNNNNNNNNNNNNNNNNNNNNNNNNNNNNNNNNGUUACCCAUAUCGUUGUGGAUGGAAGCCCUUAAGACUGCUGUAUACAUAUUAAACCGGGUUCCUAGUAAGGCAGUUCCAAAAACUCCUUUUGAGUUAUGAACAGGAAGGAAACCGAGUUUAAGACACCUGCAUGUUUGGGGUUGUCCAGCGGAGGCCAGAAUUUAUAAUCCACAUGAAAAGAAAUUGGAUUUUAGAACGAUUAGUGGAUACUUUAUAGGUUAUCCCGAAAAAUCUAAAGGGUAUAGGAUUUACUGUCCUAACCAUAGUACGAGAAUUAUAGAGACCGGUAAUGUCAAAUUCAUUGAGAAUGGUGAAACCAGUAGGAGUGAUAAACCACAAAAUGUGAAAAUUCAAGAAGUUAGGGUGCAAGUCCCUUUACGCAUGACUUCUAAGAAAAUUGUUGUUCCUACAGUUGUCACACAGUUUAAUAACAAUGAACAAUAAAUUAAUGAUCAAACACUCCAUAAUGAAGUUAUCACCACUGAACAAGUUGUAGAAGAACCACAAGGGAUGACAUUAAGGAGAUCUGAAAGAGAAAGAAGAUCUGCCAUUCCAAAUGAUUAUAUGGUUUAUCUACAAGAAUUUGAUUUUGAUAUAGGGACAAGAAAAGAUCCGGUUUCUUUUAAACAAGCCAUAGAAAGUGUUGAUUCUACUAAAUGGAUUGAUGCCAUGAAAGAUGAGUUGAAAUCAAUGGAUCAGAAUGAAGUCUGGGAUGUCGUUGAUUUGCCCGAAGGUUGUAAAACAGUUGGGUGUAAGUGGGUCUUUAAGACCAAGCUCGACUUAUUUAUGCAGAGGUCCUCAAAAUAUGUUAAUUUAGUCCCUAUAAAACAUAUUAUUUAUGCAGAGGUCCUUGUGGGGUGAUGUGAUAAAAAUUUUCAAUCAUUUAUUUUACAUUUUAGUAUACUUGAUAGCAUGAUAUGACACAUGUACUGAUUGUGUAGAUUAGUAAAAUAUUAAAUACAAGUUUUAUUUUAAUUUGUCAUAUUAUGAAUUGUCAAUUAUGUGCAAUGUCAUUAUUUUAAUUUGAUGUCUAUAUUAUGAAAUAGUUUGGUAGUUGCCAAAGUAACCCAACUAGAAUGUUUAAUAGACAUCAAGUCAUCAAAUACUCUAAUCCCAGGUAUUAAGAUAAUGACUUUGCAAAUUAUGACUUACAGUUUUUCAAUCAUGAGAUAUUAUGGAUUGGCCCAAAGGUGCACCACUUUCAAAUGAUUGAUUUGCUGAGUUAGGAUAAUUAAUGAGUAUCCUUGAUUUAAUAGGUAUUGGAUGCUCAAAGGCAACAGACCUAUUUGAAUUUUGGACCUAUAUCAUUAAUUAUUCCUAGGUGAAUUGGGAAUCACCAUAAUAGUAAUUUAGUGUUUCAUAAUUACUACCCAAAGGUGUAUUAUGGUAACACUGUUUAUGUUAUUCAUCAUUAUUGCUAACUCAAAGUGUUAAUGUUGUAAGCAUUUUCUUAUUGUUAAUUUUCUUAUUGCAGUAUCUAUUCCUGUUUCGCUUCAUUCGCAAGCUUCAUCUGUUACGAUCUUUAAUGGAACUAAUUUCUCAGAGUGGAAUGAACAAGUCCAGUUUCACCUAGGUGUUCUGGAUCUUGAUUUAGCACUCCGAUCUGAGAAACCGGCUGACAUUACUGAUUUGAGCAGCUCGGAAGAAAGAUCUUUUAUAAGACUUGGGAAAGAUCGAACAGAUUGAGCAUUAUGUUUAUGCGGAUGAGUAUAGCGAACAAUAUCAAGUCAACGCUUCCUGAAUGUGACAGUGCUCAAGCAUUAUUGAAACUGUGGAAGAACGUUUCCGAUCUGCUGAUAAGUCUCUGGCUGGGACAUUAAUGGCUAAACUUACCACCAUGAUGGUACUUGUGGGAUGCAUGAGCAUAUCCUUGAAAUGACAAAUAUAGCUGCUAAGCUGAAGGCUCUUGGGAUGUGAAUGAAUCCUUUUUAACUUUGCCUAUCAUUUCAAAUUCACUAUAACACUAUUAAGGAUAAGUGGAAUGUGAAUGAAUUGACCAGUAUGCUUGUCAAGAGGAGACAAGACUUAAGCAACAAGGAUAUCAUUCUGUCAAUCUUGUAAGUCAUGGAGCCAAGAAGAAAUGGAAGAAGCCAAGAAAGGGCAUGAAGAGUGGACCAUCCAAGGGUAAAGAGCCUCAUCAUGAACCGAGGUUCAUAAGAAGAAACAAAACAAAGAUAGAUGCCAUUUUUGCAAGAAAUUGGGACACUAUCAGAUGGACUGCCAUAAACGCAAGGCACCAAAUGAGAGUUUUAUCGUUUUGGGGAAUGGGUUAGAGUUCCUGUAACAGCUGUUGGAACUUAUCGUUUGCUUUUAAAUACUGGUUGUCAUUUAGAUUUGCUUCAGACUCUUUAUGUUCCUUCUAUUUCUAGAAAUUUAAUUUCUGUUUCUAAACUUGAUGUUGAAGGAUAUUUCUUUAAA
Molecule: long non-coding RNA, 3361 nt
Filed under: Phoenix dactylifera (date palm)
Lineage: Eukaryota; Viridiplantae; Streptophyta; Magnoliopsida; Arecales; Arecaceae
Description: long non-coding RNA (PDAC_LNC003388)
Source: RNAcentral